This 334-nucleotide unclassified non-coding RNA is filed under the name Bombus terrestris (buff-tailed bumblebee). RNAcentral's name for it is "misc RNA ENSBTSG00005031758.1". The record is from RNAcentral. Lineage: Eukaryota; Metazoa; Arthropoda; Insecta; Hymenoptera; Apidae.
GUAGGACCGCAAAUAUGUACAUGAAUUUUCUUCAGUCAUCGAUUCGUAUAUUGUCGUGAACAGUGCCAUUCUUCGUAAGAAUCCAUAAAUAUUGUAUUCUUAAUACCUCGUAUCCUCCCUUCCAUUGCACGUUGUGCCCUGGAAGGGCCAUCGAGGCCCAGUGUUAUGUACGAGUAUCCAGGAAGUGGAACCAUUCAACCUUGAGGAAUAUACGAAAGGGUUCGGCUUGUAUCACGGAAACCAUUAGAUUGGCAGUCGCAUGACCGUUUGAAAACUCCAAGGUUUAUGACUCAGUUAUUAAGCGCCGGAAAAGUAGUGUGAACAAGUUAAAAGG